CUGCUUCAUUUUUCUCUUCUGUUGAGAUCUUCUACUGAUGACAAAAAAAUCCAUACAAGUUUAAAAGGGCACUCGAGUGUACUGUUCCAAAGUUCUGUCAGCAACUAAGAGUCUUUCGCAAGAACGAAAGAGUUAUCAGGUUAAGAGACAAUCAAGAAAAAGAAAAGACUAAACUACAAACAAGAAGAUGGAUAGUUCUCUGUAGCAAACAUAGUAAAGGAGCAAAAUUGUACACAAUCUAAAAACAAGUUGUAUCCUUAUUUUUUUUAGGAUUCUCCCUCUCAUGUUACGCUUUAAUGUUUUGUUGAUGUAGUCUUGAAAAAGUUA
Molecule: long non-coding RNA, 327 nt
Organism: Brassica oleracea var. oleracea
Lineage: Eukaryota; Viridiplantae; Streptophyta; Magnoliopsida; Brassicales; Brassicaceae
Exons: 3
Source: RefSeq, a predicted model, not a curated record